RNAcentral lists this ribosomal RNA (506 nucleotides) under Lolomyia texana. RNAcentral describes it as "eukaryotic LSU rRNA". It matches the Rfam family "Eukaryotic large subunit ribosomal RNA", at positions 646 to 964 of the family's 3401-position model. Lineage: Eukaryota; Metazoa; Arthropoda; Insecta; Neuroptera; Berothidae. The record is from RNAcentral.
GACCCGUCUUGAACCACGGAGUCUAGCAUGUGCGCAAGUCAUUGGGAAUAAAACAUUUUUUCAUCGGAAUGUAUAUAAUUUGUAUGAAACCCAAAGGCGUAAUGAAAGUGAAUAUUAUUAAUUGUUUUGCGGAAUUUAUUUUUAUGUUGCAAAUUAAAUAAUAAAGGGAAGAUAUAUUUGUAUUAUGUAUUAAAUAUCGCACUCCCGGGGCGUCUUAUAUUACUAUAUAGAUAUUAAUUUGUAGUUUGUCUCGUGUGUGUGUGUGUGUGUCCCUUGUGCAUUCUCGCACGCGCGCACGCUCUACAGAAUAUAAUGUUCUAUAUAGUAGAGGCGCACCUAGAGCGUACACGCUGGGACCCGAAAGAUGGUGAACUAUGCCUGGUCAGGACGAAGUCAGGGGAAACCCUGAUGGAGGUCCGUAGCGAUUCUGACGUGCAAAUCGAUCGUCGGAACUGGGUAUAGGGGCGAAAGACUAAUCGAACCAUCUAGUAGCUGGUUCCUUCCGA